Molecule: ribosomal RNA, 164 nt
Filed under: Elymus burchan-buddae
Lineage: Eukaryota; Viridiplantae; Streptophyta; Magnoliopsida; Poales; Poaceae
Also listed under: 3 other names
Description: 5.8S ribosomal RNA
Rfam family: 5.8S ribosomal RNA
About the family: 5.8S ribosomal RNA (5.8S rRNA) is a component of the large subunit of the eukaryotic ribosome. It is transcribed by RNA polymerase I as part of the 45S precursor that also contains 18S and 28S rRNA. Functionally, it is thought that 5.8S rRNA may be involved in ribosome translocation.
Source: RNAcentral
CACACGACUCUCGGCAACGGAUAUCUCGGCUCUCGCAUCGAUGAAGAACGUAGCGAAAUGCGAUACCUGGUGUGAAUUGCAGAAUCCCGCGAACCAUCGAGUCUUUGAACGCAAGUUGCGCCCGAGGCCACUCGGCCGAGGGCACGCCUGCCUGGGCGUCAUGC